CCUACGGGAGGCUGCAGUGGGGAAUAUUGCACAAUGGGCGCAAGCCUGAUGCAGCCAUGCCGCGUGUGUGAAGAAGGCCUUCGGGUUGUAAAGCACUUUCAGCGGGGAGGAAGGCAGUACGGUUAAUAACCGUGUUGAUUGACGUUACCCGCAGAAGAAGCACCGGCUAACUCCGUGCCAGCAGCCGCGGUAAUACGGAGGGUGCAAGCGUUAAUCGGAAUUACUGGGCGUAAAGCGCACGCAGGCGGUCUGUCAAGUCGGAUGUGAAAUCCCCGGGCUCAACCUGGGAACUGCAUUCGAAACUGGCAGGCUUGAGUCUUGUAGAGGGGGGUAGAAUUCCAGGUGUAGCGGUGAAAUGCGUAGAGAUCUGGAGGAAUACCGGUGGCGAAGGCGGCCCCCUGGACAAAGACUGACGCUCAGGUGCGAAAGCGUGGGGAGCA
This 440-nucleotide ribosomal RNA is filed under the name uncultured bacterium. RNAcentral describes it as "bacterial SSU rRNA". It matches the Rfam family "Bacterial small subunit ribosomal RNA", at positions 338 to 770 of the family's 1533-position model. The record is from RNAcentral.